This 251-nucleotide long non-coding RNA is filed under the name Elaeis guineensis (African oil palm). RNAcentral's name for it is "long non-coding RNA (EGUI_LNC074911)". Lineage: Eukaryota; Viridiplantae; Streptophyta; Magnoliopsida; Arecales; Arecaceae. The record is from RNAcentral.
CGCCUUCCUUCUCUUCUAUUGCUUCUUUUUUCUUGGCUUCUCUUAAUUCCCUGGGUCUCUCCAUUAAUUAAGAACACAAAGGAGAUUCUGUCCAAGAAACUCCGCAGCUAUCUGAGUGAAGAAAAAGAUAUCAUCAUCAUCCUUUUCCCCUUUCUUCCUUAAUUUCAUUUCUCUCGCUUAGCAUUCCACUUUUCUCUUUUUUCGACUGAUCUCCUCCAUUGGUAGCUUGUUGAGAUCAAAGCCGGUCGAAC